Molecule: long non-coding RNA, 424 nt
Organism: Leptidea sinapis
Lineage: Eukaryota; Metazoa; Arthropoda; Insecta; Lepidoptera; Pieridae
Exons: 2
Source: RefSeq, a predicted model, not a curated record
GGAAUAGCAUAGGUUUAACUAUGUCAAAGACUAUUUACAUAUUUCAAUAACGAAAACAUUGCUUUAUAUUCAUUUAUUGAUUUGAAUUUUGUUAUGUAGUGGUGCAGUAUCGCCUUGAGUAUAAGUGAUACCGUUUCUAGGUUACACGAUAUUGUCACUCAUUUAAAGAAAUAACUAUUUUUAGAGAAUACGCCUUGCUCUAAACGCCAUGAUAAUUUGGAGUCCCAAAAACAAUCCAUACGAUUAGCAGUAAAGAAUUUUCCCAUGGAUGAGUGUGCGCUUCUAUUGAUAACUGGCCACACGUUUAAAGGACUGUAUUGCAGCCAAUGGAGACCACUAUGAAUAAGUUUUUUAUAUUUUUAAUUAUUUCAUAUUUAUGUAUUAACUAACACACUGUAACAGCAAUAAAAUGUUAUUUGCAAAA